Gasterosteus aculeatus aculeatus (three-spined stickleback) is the source of this 2167-nucleotide long non-coding RNA. NCBI's taxonomy places the organism in Eukaryota, Metazoa, Chordata, Actinopteri, Perciformes, Gasterosteidae. The record is from Ensembl.
CAAAGGAUGCGGGGGUUACGCCCUUGUUUCAGAACAGUUUGCAAACCGUCGAGGUUUCUCUCACAGUUGUCGGUGAAAUCGCUCCACACGAAGGGAAGUGAUCAGCAAGCAUUGUGCAAAAGUGAAAAGUGUUGGAUUGCGGCCGGCUGCACGUUGGCUAACGGCGUGUUGAAAGUGAGCGAGGACACGGCACGGACGUGCCAACGACGGCGCGCGCCUGCUUGCACAAACGCCGUCGGGUUGCGGCUCCUCUCUGCUCGUGGGAGGAAGGACGCUUGUUUUUCUUUUUGCGUGAGAAGAAAAAAGGAACUUUUUUUUUCUGGUGACGUGAUUCACACGCGGACAACCUGAAAUAACCGCAGUUUGUAUUUUUGUCUUUUUCUUCUCUCACACUCUCUGUCCUCAACAAACUGCAGAGAAAAAAAGCAGAAAGGAGAAGUGUUUUGAAGAAGAUGUGAGUGACUAAGUGUCUGCAGGGUUAGCGCUGUCUAGCAUUUCUGCUACGAUCGGCCUGUGACCAAUAUUGUUAUUUUCCUCUCAAACAUGUGGGUGUCAAACAUAAUGAUAGAAAUCAAAUGUCCUAUUGAACCUUAAUUGCAUUAUUUUAUUUGGUUUACAUUUGGUGUGAUGCUGAAAAAUAAUCAUACUUUUAAUUUCAUAAUUAAAUAGUUUUUAGUGAUAGUUAUACAGUUUAGCAGCCUCGUCUGUGUUGUGCAUCAACUGAUGCUUUGCUAAUGUUUUUAAUUGGGCUAAAGGCUAAAUGCAUGCUAAUCCCCAGUGUAUGAGUCAUGUUCACAUCUGAUGCUUUGUUCAUUUUUAAUCAAGCUAAAUGCUAAAUUCUUGCUAAUCCCUCGUCGAUGAGUCAUUGAUACAGCUGAUUCCCUGCUAACUGCUAAUCAAGCUAAAUGCUAAUUUCAUGCUAAUCCAAGGCGGAUAAAUCGUAGGGACGGUUUUUUCUUGCUAAUUGGUUAAUCCAUCUAAAGCCAAUUAAGAAAUGUAUCUGGAGCUGUGGUGUGUGUGUGUGUGUGUGUGUGUGUGUGUGUGUGUGUGUGUGUGUGUGUGUAGGGGCGGGAUUGGGAAAUAAUCACCUCAGAUUACAGAAAACAAGAAUAAUUUUCUGUGCUCAUCAGUGUUAAACUGUCAUCAGCUGUCACGACUGAUGUAACGUCUUCAACCAGAUGGCUCGGACUCUUUUAUUUUCUAAUUACUUUCCUGUUAAGACAAGAACUCGUCCUGCGGUGUGUGAGCGCAGGUGAGCUGCACGCAGGUGAGCUGCCCUCGUGGAUUAGUAACGGCCGUGAGAUGCGAGAGACAAUCGUCACCUCGCAACAAAAGCACGUGGACAGCGUCGCGAGGUGUCAAUCACCUGAGGUGUCAAUCACCGACCACAUUCUCCUCCAUUGUUGCUAUUGACGGCAAAAAUCGUUACCAGACCGGAGAAGACGAAGACACUGAGGAGAGGAUGCGACGAGUGACGCUUUGAAGUCUCUGCGUCUGGCAUGUACAUGUCAGUCUGUGCGUGUGUGGCAUGUACAUGUCAGUUUGUGUGUGCGUGUGGCAUGUACAUGUCAGUCUGUGUGUGUGUGUGUGGCAUGUACAUCUCAGUUUGUGUGUGUGUGGCAUGUACAUGUCAGUCUGUGCGUGUGUGUGGCAUGUACAUGUCAGUCUGUGUGUGUGUGUGUGUGUGGCAUGUACAUGUCAGUCUGUGUGUAGUGUGUGGCAUGUACAUGUCAGUCUGUGUGUGUGUGUGUGUUUUGUGUGUGUGUGUGUGUGUGUGUGUGGCAUGUACAUGUCAGUCUGUGUGUGUGUGUGUGUGUGUGGCAUGUACAUCUCAGUUUGUGUGUGUGUGGCAUGUACAUGUCAGUCUGUGUGUGUGUGGCAUGUACAUGUCAGUCUGUGUGUGUGUGUGUGUGUGUGACAUGUACAUCUCAGUUUGUGUGUGUGUGGCAUGUACAUGUCAUUCUGUGUGUGUGUGGCAUGUACAUGUCAUUCUGUGUGUGUGGUUGAAUGUGGGAGAAUGUGACUCUACUGUAUAUAUGUGCGUCCGCACGCCUCGUUGUCUGUCAUUCCCCCCGUGGGCAACCACUGUUUACAUACACAAAGCUGAGCAGGGGUUACACUGUGUGUGCAUGUGUGUGUGUGUGUGUGUGUGUGUGUGUGUGUGUGU